This is an RNA transcript of Biomphalaria glabrata, 1722 nucleotides long. RefSeq lists it as uncharacterized. NCBI's taxonomy places the organism in Eukaryota, Metazoa, Mollusca, Gastropoda, Planorbidae. The record is from RefSeq and is a predicted model, not a curated record. The transcript has 8 exons.
CAUUUUACUCACUUGGGUGUCACCCCCUGGUGGGUGUCACCAGGUGCGGACCGCACACCCCUAGUGACGCCACUGCGCUUAACCACUCAACCACCGCGUCUACUUAAUUAGACUUAUAAACAAAUGGGCUAAUAGCAAAAAUAAAGGAGAUGUGUUACAUAGAUUAGCUGAUACGCCUAGCGAUAGUGUUAAAAGUUUUGUUUCGUUGGGUACGUCAGCUGUGGGGAGAGGGGUGUUAUGCUCUUCCGCAUUGUAUAGUACUUGAAAAUGUAACUAAGUCCAACUGGAGGUAACACUGAACUCAAUACUGGAACAGAUAACACCAACGAAAGGCCAACAAUCGAUACAUUGAGUCGACGCUGGUGUUAAAACAGCAAACACUUUUAAUACUUAAGGUGGAUCUAAGCCUCUCAGCACGUCACGACGGAGAAAACAAUCUCUACAACGCUUCAGAGAGAAACAUAAUGGGUUCUCCGGAAAAAAAGCCUGGGACAGAGUAUAAUCCAUGGCUGUUCUCUCCCUGCAGUGUCAGUUACUUUACCAGCUUUUUGAAGAAAAAAUUGAGCUCCAGUCGAGGUUACACUUGUCUUGUCUACGCUGUCGAAGCAUCAGCAGACAUUCCAGAUGUAUCUGAUAAACUAUUGGGUCAGGUGAUCAAACCUGAUCAACAGUGUCAACAGUUUUUUUGGAAAUGAUUCCUUCUUUUGCAGGGCUUCCGAAUCUAGACGCUCUAUCACUGAAAUCUGCCAAGCAAUGUUAUGUGCAGAUGUUUUAAGAGGGUUAUGUAUCCCGCAUAUAGCACUCACUGGAACAUCUUGUGGCGAUGGAAAGGUCUGCAUAAAUGACAAUGUGUCAGCGACCCAUACGCUCCUCAACUUGAUGAAAACUGUGCAUUUGGAGACAGACCGAGCUAUUCUUGCAGUUUGUUUAUCAAUGACUUUAUGGGCAACUGUUACUCUACUCUUGGCUAUCGAGCAUGCUGUGACACGUGUAACAAUGUGUCUAGGCCCGUGAAAGAAUGUGAACCAGGAGAUCUAGACUUGAGGCCAGAACUGUGCACUAACACUAGUGUCUGCCAGAUAAAGUCAUCACUGUGCUGUAACUAUUGCUCGUUACAUUACAAUUCUGCAAAUACAAGUAGGCUACCACACAAUUAACGUCCCCCAACGAGUGUGUACUAGGAGAACCAGCUGUGUACUAGCCGUAGUAUCUGCCAGACACAGCCAUUGAUGUGCUGUAAAUAUUGUUCUUCCCGUGACAAUUCUGCAAGCCAUCUCUCUUUAUACACUAUUUGGAUAUUAUAUUGUUUUUGUAUUGCGUUCUUUCUUUAUAUUAAAACAAAUGUCUAUUAGGUAGAUAAAGUACAAGUGUCUAUUAAGUAGAUAAAGUACAAAUGUCUAUUAGGUAGCUAAAGUACAAGACUCUUAGGUAGAUAAAGUACUUACCCUUGUUCGGAAUUUUUUUUUAGUUUUUGUCUAUUUCUUAUCUUUAUACCAUUUUAAGCAUUGAUUACACAAGGAAAUCAAUUAUAAUGAAGCAAUCUAUCAAUCAUAAUGAAGCAAUCGUUGGUGUACUGUGCAUGAAAUAAUAGACCUCUAAAACAUGUAACCAGGGCCGGCCUUAGAUAAUGAGCCUCCUUGUCCUUAUCAUUAGGAGGAACAUUUUGUACAUCCCCUUAUAAUUCUGGAUCUAGAGAUAAAUUAUGUUGCUUGUUUUUAUUUC